UACGUAGGUGGCGAGCGUUACUCGGAAUUACUAGGCGUAAAGCGCGUGUAGGCGGAGGAUUAAGUCAGCUGUGAAAUCCAGGGCUCAACCCUGGGCGUGCGGCUGAUACUGGUCCCCUUGGGUCAGGCAGAGGCGGAUGGAAUUCCGGGUGUAGCAGUGAAAUGCGCAGAUAUCCGGAAGAACGCCGAGGGCGAAAGCAGUCCGCUGGGCCUUGGACCGACGCUGAGACGCGAAAGCCGGGGGAGCGAGC
RNAcentral lists this ribosomal RNA (250 nucleotides) under uncultured prokaryote. RNAcentral's name for it is "partial 16S ribosomal RNA". It matches the Rfam family "Bacterial small subunit ribosomal RNA", at positions 524 to 773 of the family's 1533-position model. The record is from RNAcentral.